This 167-nucleotide small RNA is filed under the name Microcebus murinus (gray mouse lemur). Its description in RNAcentral is "TUC338 (ENSMICG00000027102.2)". The record is from RNAcentral. Lineage: Eukaryota; Metazoa; Chordata; Mammalia; Primates; Cheirogaleidae.
AUGUUGCCCUGAUGCCCUGUCUCUUUCCCCAGAUCGGGCCCAGCACAGGCAGCGUCAGUGCAAACUUCCCCCACCCCGCCUUCCACCCAUGUGUGUCAACCCUGCCCCUGGAGGGACCAUCUCUCGAGGUAAGGGAGGAACCAUGCCUCUCGCAACAGCUUGGUCCA